UUGUGCUUGCUUGUCUUGCGCUCUCACUGCUCUGACGGAUGCUUUUAUUAGACCAAACCGCUGAGGACUUGAGGGUUCGCUCUCUAGUUCGACUCGUGCGAUGGUGACUCUGGAUAACCUUGACGAGCGCACGUACUCCUCUUCUGAGCGAGACGGCGCUGCCACUUUCGAGUGUCUGCCUUAUCAGCUAUCAACCGUUCGUUAUGCGCGACCGAUGGCUUUGACGGGUAACGGGGAAUCAGGGUUCGAUUCCGGAGAGGCAGCCUGAGAGACGGCUACCACGUCCAAGGACGGCAGCAGGCACGCAAAUUACCCAAUCCCAGCAAAUGGGGGAGGUAGUGACGAAAUCUAACGAUGCGGGCGCCCUUUCUGGGGCCCCGCAAUCGGAAUGGGCACUUUCUAAACAACCUGUUGAGAACCUACUGAAGGGCAAGUCUGGUGCCAGCAGCCGCGGUAAUUCCAGCUUCAGCAGCAUCUAUUAAAGUUGCUGCGGUUAAAAGGCUCGCAGUUGAAUGUCUGUAUCGAGCGCAGGUCAGGUGGACGUUGGGGCGUGGAAGUACGGGCAGUUGGACGUUCGGAGGGCAUUCGUGCUCGAUGGCUCCUUCGGCUUUUCCACACACCCCCGUCCGUGACAAGCCUCCUCGCUCGGGUACAUAACGGGAAUCGGUCAAACGGAGUGUGGUCGGGGAUUGAGGUGCGUGGUUUCGGCUGCGUGCUCCUUCUUUCGGCUGCGUUAAGCUCCAUCGGUUUCACGGUCACCUUGAGUAAAUCA
RNAcentral lists this ribosomal RNA (772 nucleotides) under Gammarus cf. fossarum P DCC-2015. Its description in RNAcentral is "bacterial SSU rRNA". It matches the Rfam family "Eukaryotic small subunit ribosomal RNA", at positions 182 to 768 of the family's 1831-position model. Lineage: Eukaryota; Metazoa; Arthropoda; Malacostraca; Amphipoda; Gammaridae. The record is from RNAcentral.